GAUUGUGUGGGUGGUCUGACAGCAACAUCUGUCACCCAUUGGCCCCAGACAUGACACAGCUCAUUUGGCUGCCUAGUGUAGUGUUGCCUUCCUUCUUCACUGCUUCAUGCAUGGCUCUCCUAAAGCUGUGCCAAAUUAUUGGAGAUUUUAAAAACAAUUCCAAUAGCUUUGACAGAAGAACUGAAAACGAAGUAUGAAAGAAUCCAGCCAUAUUAGACCUCUAGGCAAUUUUUUAGGCUAAAGAGCUAGAAGAUUAUUCUAGAAAAUCCUAGAUAAUGAUAAACACAUUGUAAAAUGAACCACCUAUUGUUU
RNAcentral lists this small RNA (312 nucleotides) under Microcebus murinus (gray mouse lemur). RNAcentral describes it as "7SK RNA (ENSMICG00000025097.3)". It matches the Rfam family "7SK RNA". Rfam says of the family: 7SK was discovered as an abundant small nuclear RNA in the mid-70s but a possible function has only recently been suggested. Two independent studies have found that 7SK RNA binds the CDK9/cyclin T complex (known as elongation factor P-TEFb). P-TEFb activates transcription by phosphorylating the C-terminal domain of RNA polymerase II. The record is from RNAcentral. Lineage: Eukaryota; Metazoa; Chordata; Mammalia; Primates; Cheirogaleidae.